This 447-nucleotide ribosomal RNA is filed under the name uncultured bacterium. RNAcentral's name for it is "bacterial SSU rRNA". It matches the Rfam family "Bacterial small subunit ribosomal RNA", at positions 329 to 793 of the family's 1533-position model. The record is from RNAcentral.
GGCCAGACUCCUACGGGAGGCAGCAGUGGGGAAUAUUGCACAAUGGGGGAAACCCUGAUGCAGCGACGCCGCGUGAGUGAAGAAGUAAUUCGUUAUGUAAAGCUCUAUCAGCAGGGAAGAAAAUGACGGUACCUGAGUAAGAAGCCCCGGCUAACUACGUGCCAGCAGCCGCGGUAAUACGUAGGGGGCAAGCGUUAUCCGGAUUUACUGGGUGUAAAGGGAGCGUAGACGGCAGUGCAAGUCUGGAGUGAAAGGCGGGGGCUCAACCCCCGGACUGCUCUGGAAACUGUACGGCUUGAGUGCAGGAGAGGUAAGGGGAAUUCCUAGUGUAGUGGUGAAAUGCGUAGAUAUUAGGAGGAACACCAGUUGCGAAGGCGGCUCUCUGGACUGUAACUGACACUGAGGCACGAAAGCGUGGGGAGCAAACAGGAUUAGAUACCCUUGUAU